UUCGCUCAUUUUAAUGCAUACUUAGCGUUGUCUGUCUUUCAGCCAAUCAGCUAGGGCGAAUCUUACGUCACGUUGAUUAAUAUUAAUGAGGCACAAACCUCUGGGUGGAUCCCGGUAGAAACACUGAUGUUGAUGAUAAAUACUGCUGUCAUCUCAACCAGAUCACAUUCACUGCUUAUUCAUCAUGGACUUCGAUCUGUGCUCAGCUGUUGGAGAUGAUGAGGUGAAGAAGCAGGAGGGCAACGAGGUGGAGGGCAUCUUUGGCUUUGGAAAAAAAGAUAAAGACAAAGAAGAAAAAGAUAAAGAGUGUAAGGACAAAGACAAAGAUAGUGACAAGCCAAAGAGUGAUUGCAAAGAAGAGGAUAAAGACAAGGACAAGUGCAAAGACAAAGAGAAGGACAAGAGCAAAGACAAAGAGAAGGACAAGUGCAAAGACAAGGAAAAGAAGAAGGAUAAAGAGCACAAAAAGGGGCACGGACAUGGUCAUGGUCGGGGACGUGGACGCGGACGCGGACACAGGUCAUCCUCUUCAUCCAGUGAUGAGGACUAAAGCUGAAGACUGAAGACAUAAGGGGGCUGGGGCAAGUUGUCACACAGGGAAAAUGUCCUAAGGGAUUUAUUUUUAUAGCAACUGUGAGGUUUUGUCAAAAAAAUCCAAUUGCACAAAUGCUUGUUUUCUAGCAGUGGUUUUAUAUGUUGGUUUCAAACACCUAGUUGCUCCAUUUGUAUUAAAUUAGGAUAAUAUUUUUGGAAUUGUGUCCUACAGACAAAAAUUUCAGUACUAUUAUCUUUUUAUACAUUGGUGCGAGCUGUUACAUGAGUUCUGUGAUGUACUGCAUAUACAGUAUCUAUGAAAAUCUCCUGUUAUUUUUUUGUUUUUUAAUUUUUUUGCUGUUUGUUUUACUGUUAAAGACAUUAUAUAGCCUGUAAUACAUUUGAAAUAUUAUAUUGUGGAAAAUGGAUUGAUUUUAUGUAUUUUAGUAUGUCAUGUUUGUUUUCUCAAAACAAUUCCCAUUCUUGUGAUUUAUCCCAUAUAUAGUGACAACAUGGCCCACUAAACAUAAGUCAACAUAAUGAACGUUAGGCUAUAUUUAUACUGGAUAAUAAUGAUAGACAUGUCCAAUAGUUGUUUCAGGGUGGUGACUAUUGAAAAAGUGACAUAAGUGACUUUUCAAAAUAAACUUACUGUGAGAAAUUAAUUGGUAUAAAAAGUUGUCCUAGACUCCUUUAUUUACACUACAGUACAACAUAUAUAUAUAUAUAUAUAUACACAGUGGGUACGGAAAGUAUUCAGAC
RNAcentral lists this long non-coding RNA (1296 nucleotides) under Sinocyclocheilus anshuiensis. RNAcentral's name for it is "lncRNA (ENSSANG00000030425.1)". Lineage: Eukaryota; Metazoa; Chordata; Actinopteri; Cypriniformes; Cyprinidae. The record is from RNAcentral.